UACGUAGGGUGCGAGCGUUAAUCGGAAUUACUGGGCGUAAAGCGUGCGCGGGCGGUUUUGUAAGACAGCUGUGAAAUCCCCGGGCUCAACCUGGGAACUGCGGUUGUGACUGCAAGACUUGAGUGCGGCAGAGGGGGGUGGAAUUCCACGUGUAGCAGUGAAAUGCGUAGAGAUGUGGAGGAACACCGAUGGCGAAGGCAGCCCCCUGGGUCGACACUGACGCUCAUGCACGAAAGCGUGGGGAGCAAACAGG
RNAcentral lists this ribosomal RNA (253 nucleotides) under uncultured bacterium. Its description in RNAcentral is "partial 16S ribosomal RNA". It matches the Rfam family "Bacterial small subunit ribosomal RNA", at positions 524 to 776 of the family's 1533-position model. The record is from RNAcentral.